AUUACAUGCGUUAGCUUCUAUGUGUACCAUAUGUUUGCUAAUGGAUCAUUCGCUUAUGCUUUUCCAACUAUGCUGCUUGCUAUUGCGGUAGCUAUUCAUAUUUUUGUGCUCCUAAGAACCUGUGAAAAUCUUCAAUUUGAAAGUCAAAAGUCUGCGCAUUUGGUACAUGAUAUCCUUCAGACAAGUAAUGAGAAUAAAAAUGAUUUAAUAAGAAAUUGCUUAGUCAACAUAUCUCUUCAAAUUCACCAUGAAAAAAUUUCUAUUGGAUUUGGAAGACUUUUCAC
Long non-coding RNA from Phlebotomus papatasi, 284 nucleotides. RefSeq lists it as uncharacterized. The transcript has 3 exons. NCBI's taxonomy places the organism in Eukaryota, Metazoa, Arthropoda, Insecta, Diptera, Psychodidae. The record is from RefSeq and is a predicted model, not a curated record.